UACGUAGGGGGCAAGCGUUGUUCGGAUUUACUGGGCGUAAAGGGUGCGUAGGUGGCGAGGUAAGUUCGAUGUGAAAUCUCCGAGCUCAACUCGGAAAUGGCAUUGAAUACUAUCCCGCUUGAGGGUCGGAGGGGAGACUGGAAUUCUCGGUGUAGCAGUGAAAUGCGUAGAUAUCGAGAGGAACACCAGUGGCGAAGGCGGCCUUCUGGACAGCGACUGACGCUGAGACGCGAAAGCGUGGGGAGCAAACAGG
RNAcentral lists this ribosomal RNA (253 nucleotides) under uncultured bacterium. RNAcentral describes it as "partial 16S ribosomal RNA". It matches the Rfam family "Bacterial small subunit ribosomal RNA", at positions 524 to 776 of the family's 1533-position model. The record is from RNAcentral.